Molecule: ribosomal RNA, 370 nt
Filed under: uncultured Desulfobulbus sp.
Lineage: Bacteria; Pseudomonadati; Thermodesulfobacteriota; Desulfobulbia; Desulfobulbales; Desulfobulbaceae
Description: bacterial SSU rRNA
Rfam family: Bacterial small subunit ribosomal RNA
Source: RNAcentral
UUCCAUCUGGAAGAAUCUGGAGACAGGUGCUGCAUGGCUGUCGUCAGCUCGUGUCGCGAGAUGUUGGGUUAAGUCCCGCAACGAGCGCAACCCUUGCCUUUAGUUGCCAGCAGUUCGGCUGGGCACUCUAAAGGGACUGCCGGUGUUAAACCGGAGGGAGGUGGGGAUGACGUCAAGUCCUCAUGGCCUUUAUGACCAGGGCUACACACGUACUACAAUGGCCGAUACAAAGGGCAGCGACACUGCGAGGUGAAGCCAAUCCCGUAAAAUCGGUCUCAGUCCGGAUUGGAGUCUGCAACUCGACUCCAUGAAGUUGGAAUCGCUAGUAAUCGUGGAUCAGCAUGCCACGGUGAAUACGUUCCCGGGCCUU